Molecule: ribosomal RNA, 253 nt
Filed under: uncultured bacterium
Lineage: Bacteria
Description: partial 16S ribosomal RNA
Rfam family: Bacterial small subunit ribosomal RNA
Source: RNAcentral
UACGUAGGGGGCAAGCGUUGUCCGGAUUUAUUGGGCGUAAAGAGCGUGUAGGCGGCCAAGCAGGUCCGCUGUGAAAACUCGAGGCUCAACCUCGAGACGUCGGUGGAAACCGUUUGGCUCGAAUCCGGAAGAGGUGAGUGGAAUUCCUGGUGUAGCGGUGAAAUGCGCAGAUAUCAGGAGGAACACCAAUGGCGAAGGCAGCUCACUGGGACGGUAUUGACGCUGAGACGCGAAAGCGUGGGGAGCAAACAGG